GCCCCUGUGACGGCCACAGGUGGCGGACCUCUCGGCGCCAGACGGCAGCCUGUCGUGCCGCGCUCAGCUCGCAGCUCGGAGGAUCCGUCGGCUCUCUUGUGACCAGGUGCCUGACGGGCCGUGCGUCUGCGGCCGGCCGUGGCCGCCUCUCGCCGUCCGAUGGUGGCCAGGUCCAGAGGAGAGCCCAACCACUCACGCCACACGGCCGCCGCCGCCGCCAUGCUCUGCUGCGGCCCAGAGAAGGAUGGCUCAGAACAGUCAGCCGACAUGUCCAGGUCACCGCGACACAAGCAGCAGCAACAGCAGCAGCAGCAGCAGCAGCAGCAGCAC
Pollicipes pollicipes is the source of this 330-nucleotide long non-coding RNA. RefSeq lists it as uncharacterized. The transcript has 3 exons. Lineage: Eukaryota; Metazoa; Arthropoda; Thecostraca; Pollicipedomorpha; Pollicipedidae. The record is from RefSeq and is a predicted model, not a curated record.